CUCAGACACACAUGCACUAGCACACACAAUAUCAAAGAUGCUAUGUGAGUUUGAGAAGAAGGGAAAGAGAAACGAUGCAGAUACACAUAAGAGGAAAAUGUUUUCAUGCCGUAAAGGCAGGAAAUGAAACACUCUGAUCCAGAAUGUUCUCUACCCUCCACAAAGGUUGUCCCGAUGUCUGAGAGUGCGUGUCGUGGGUUGGACUAGUGUGUGCCAGGCUGCUCUGUAUUCAAGGUGUGUAUGAGUCGUGACUCAUGUUAGUAUCCGUCAGGGUGUUGUGCGUGCUGAUUGGCUAGGUCACGGAGUCUCUCCGGCCAAUCAGAAGCCACUGAGAUGACCGCUGAGGGAUACAGGACACACAGAGACGGCUGUAUCCAAGCAACACCCUCCCAGCAUCAGAUAAAGACCUUAUAGGACAAACGGUGUUCAGGAAAACUCUCUCUCGUUAUAACAAAGACAAAACUCUUACAUGAAAUAGAAAUAUAGAAGAGCUUGUUGUAUUUCUCAGUCUCUUUUCUGUGGCUUUUCUCACGGUGAAGUCUCAACUCAACUCCAAACUGACCCGUUUCAAUUUAUUCAUCAGGUGCGCCUACAUAGCAGCUUCAAAAGAUGUAGUUUAAUAUUUACAUAUAAAUAAAUAAAUAAAUAAAUAAAUAAACAACAAACAAAAAUGACACAUAAUUGUAAAAUCAUUCUUUCUUUAUCUUUAUUAAUUUAUUUAGUCAGUUAGUUAGCUAAUUAUUCUUUUGUAAAUGAACAAUUAAUUAAAAAAUAAUAAUUCACCGUUAAUAAAUUAAAAAUGUUAUCUUUUUUUUUUUUUACUUAUUCUACCCACAGUGUUCCCAUUUUAUUCACAUGAUCCUUUUAAAAAAAAAUAAAAACAUCACAAAUGUGUAUUUUUGCAUAUUUUUCUAGAUGUAUUUCUAUAUCUCUGUGUCCUCAUUUCUAUUUUCUUUUCUUUUUUUGUAAAUAUAAUGUUUCUAAAAUAUUUGUUUGUCUUUUUGAAAUGAGUAAAGCAUUAAAAGAAAAUAGAAUAAAAAAUAAACAACUUGUUCCUCUACUACUACUUUCAAAUAUACACUCCUCUACAACUACUACUGAUUAUAAUAAUAAAAUUAAACGGCGGUAUUCAAAUUGCUCAAUAGCGAAGAUAUCAUCGGCGAGACUUAUGUAAAGACUUAAAUAAAUAAAAAAUAUCUCCUGGCCGUUUGGUAACACUUUGGGUUGUAAAAAAAUUAUUGCUUCCUAAAUUUGAGGUGUCAGAAUAUGUUAUACACAGUAUGUUAUAGUUAUGUUAUAUAUGUUAUCUCUCUCU
Long non-coding RNA from Ictalurus punctatus (channel catfish), 1315 nucleotides. The record is from Ensembl. NCBI's taxonomy places the organism in Eukaryota, Metazoa, Chordata, Actinopteri, Siluriformes, Ictaluridae.